CUGAAAUACCAAAUCAAUGAGAUCCUUGGAAGCGUCCCUGAGAUGAAUACCUGAUGUUUCUUGCAAGCCAGGGAGACCUCAAUUAUCCUCUUCUUUGACAGAAGGAGAAGGACCAGGGUGAGCAGGCUGGGGAGGGAGGAAUUGUCUAUAUUCCACUCAAAUGGUAAAAGCAACACGUCCAUUCAGCGGCUCCCAGUUACAAUGCCAACUCUACUCUCCUUCCAGCAAUUAGAAACGACACAUGGAGGCCCGGCACAGUGGCUCAUGCCUGUAAUCCCAGCCCUUUGGGAGGCUGAGGCAGGUGGAUCACUUGAGGCCAGGAGUUCGAGACCAGCUUGGCCAACUUGGCUAAACCCUGUCUCUACUAAAACAAAAUAUUAGCUGGGUGUGGUGGUGCAUGCUUGUAAUUCCAGCUACUCGGGAGGCUGAAGCACAAGAAUCACUUGAACCUGGAAGGCAGAGGCUGCAGUGAGCUGAGAUCUCACCAUUGCACUCCAGCCUGGGUGACAGAGCGAGACCCUGUUUCAGGAAAAAAUAAAAAUAAAAAACAUAAGGGCUGGGCGCAGUGGCUCAUGCCUAUAAUCCCAGCACUUUGGGAGGCCGAGACGGGUGGAUCACUUGAGGUCAGGAGUUUGAGACCAGCCUGGCCAAUAUGCUGUAACCCUGUCUCUACUAAAAAUAUAAAAAUUAGUGGGGCAUGGUGGUGCACACCUGUAAUCUCAGCUACUCAGGAAGCUAAGGCAGGAGAAUUGCUUGAAUUGCUUCAACCUGGGAGGUGGAGGUUGCAGUCUGGGCAACAGAUUAAGACUCCGUCUAAAAAAAGAAAAAAAAAAAGAAAUGACACACAGAAUGAAGACACAUAGCAGCUCAACAAGCCUAAUAUUACAAGAGGACAAGAGAUGGAGGGGCUGCCCACAAGGUGUGGUUUCAGAAGUUCAACCUGUUGGCUGCUACUUAGAUUUUACUCUCAGUGUCUCCUUCCUCUAGCUUGAGGCUCUGAACGUGUGUGUGUGUGUGUGUGUGUGUGUGUGUGUGUG
This 1037-nucleotide long non-coding RNA is filed under the name Homo sapiens (human). RNAcentral describes it as "HSALNT0302144". Lineage: Eukaryota; Metazoa; Chordata; Mammalia; Primates; Hominidae. The record is from RNAcentral.